RNAcentral lists this ribosomal RNA (250 nucleotides) under uncultured prokaryote. RNAcentral describes it as "partial 16S rRNA". It matches the Rfam family "Bacterial small subunit ribosomal RNA", at positions 525 to 775 of the family's 1533-position model. The record is from RNAcentral.
ACGGGGUUGCAAUCGUUAUCCGGAUUUAUUGGGUUUAAAGGGUGCGUAGGCUGUUUGAUAAGUCAGCGGAGAAAUAUUUCAGCUUAACUGAAAGGUUGCCGUUGAUACUGUCAGGCUUGAAUAUGGUUGAUGUGGGUGGAAUGUGUGGUGUAGCGGUGAAAUGCUUAGAAAUCACACAGAAUAUCGAUUGUGAAGGCAGCUCACAAAGCCAUUAUUGACGCUGAUGCACGAAAGUGUGGGGAUCCAAAAG